GUCGUCAGCUCGUGUCGUGAGAUGUUGGGUUAAGUCCCGCAACGAGCGCAACCCUUUUCCUUAUUUGCCAGCGGGUUAAGCCGGGAACUUUAAGGAUACUGCCAGUGACAAACUGGAGGAAGGCGGGGACGACGUCAAGUCAUCAUGGCCCUUACGACCAGGGCUACACACGUGCUACAAUGGUCGGUACAAAGGGUUGCUACCUAGCGAUAGGAUGCUAAUCUCAAAAAGCCGAUCGUAGUCCGGAUUGGAGUCUGCAACUCGACUCCAUGAAGUCGGAAUCGCUAGUAAUCGCGGAUCAGAAUGCCGCGGUGAAUACGUUCCCGGGA
RNAcentral lists this ribosomal RNA (329 nucleotides) under uncultured bacterium. Its description in RNAcentral is "bacterial SSU rRNA". It matches the Rfam family "Bacterial small subunit ribosomal RNA", at positions 1051 to 1378 of the family's 1533-position model. The record is from RNAcentral. RNAcentral also lists the same sequence under 1 other name.